Molecule: long non-coding RNA, 799 nt
Organism: Coccinella septempunctata (seven-spotted ladybird)
Lineage: Eukaryota; Metazoa; Arthropoda; Insecta; Coleoptera; Coccinellidae
Exons: 3
Source: RefSeq, a predicted model, not a curated record
AAAAGUCGGCUCUUAAUAUUAAAUUUUCUGCUUAUCUUUAUUUUCUUACAACUUACAAUUGACAGUUUGUUCAAAUCUGUAUCCUCUGAAUUUUAGUGUAGAAAAAUUAAGAACUAUAUUUAGUGAUGUGAAUAGGGUGUUUCCUAAUUGAAAGUCAGUCUUACCUUUUGAGAUACAGGGUGGUUAAGUUUUCAAAAAUAGAUAAGACAUGAAGAACUGAAUUUAAAGACUGAUGAACUGUUACACGACAACCGCCCUGACAACAGAAAUAUCAAAUUCUUGGCCACAACCCACUACGAUAAGAAAAAUCUGUGACAUACCAUCAAUGUCUGCCUAAAUAGGUAGGUCAAAUUAUGUACGAACGGACCGGUGGAAAUUAAAAAAAAAGUGAUACAUUAAAGAAUGCCACUUGAUUCAUAGUACAUGUAUGACAAGUUUCAUUAAAAUAUCUCAAGUGGUAUUGUAGAUAUCAAUAAUAAAUGAUUUAUUUUUGAAAAUAUUACCACCCUGUAUCUCAAAAGGAAACACCCUGUAUAACUAGCUUUCAAGAUGUUAAGGAAGGUUCAAUACAGAGUUUUCUCUAGUUUAAUAGUAUGAGUGAUAAUGUGUUGCAACAUUAUGAUAGCCCCUAUCCACACAAGAGUAUUCCUCUUAUAAGUUACUAGAAUGGUAAUUCAAAAGCUAAUGCAAAAUGCAAACUAGUCACUUUCUCUCUGAUGGCUCAAGUGUUCCAGAUUAUUAUUAUAUGUACACCAAAAUCAAAUGAUAACUUCAGUUUAUGAAAAUUAAAUUUUUUAUG